GCCCGGGUGGCGGAACUGGUCAGACGCUGCCGGCUUAAACCCGGCCGCCCGCGAGGGCAUGUGGGUUCGAGUCCCACCCCGGGCA
RNAcentral lists this transfer RNA (85 nucleotides) under Actinomycetota bacterium. RNAcentral describes it as "tRNA-Leu". It matches the Rfam family "tRNA". Rfam says of the family: Transfer RNA (tRNA) molecules are approximately 80 nucleotides in length. Their secondary structure includes four short double-helical elements and three loops (D, anti-codon, and T loops). The record is from RNAcentral. RNAcentral also lists the same sequence under 3 other names. Lineage: Bacteria; Bacillati; Actinomycetota.